Long non-coding RNA from Lolium perenne, 429 nucleotides. RefSeq lists it as uncharacterized. The record is from RefSeq and is a predicted model, not a curated record. NCBI's taxonomy places the organism in Eukaryota, Viridiplantae, Streptophyta, Magnoliopsida, Poales, Poaceae.
AGCAGAUUGUGUACAAAGUGUGCCUUGUACUUUUUACUCUUUUGGUCCUGGUCAGAACUGAUGGUGGUUCCUCUCUCCUUGUUUCUGUUCAUGUAUGAUUUCAGGACAACAAAGAAUGGUGACAUGGAGAUUACUCGUCUAAUAUAUUUUGGGAAGAAGUAUUUGCAUUGGAUAGUCCUGACAACAUUUGGAUACAUGACUUAUACAUUCCCUUGCUCCUGUUGCGGUGUACUCGAUUUGCUCAUCAAACUAUCCUGCAAGAACCUGCUGCGUUACUAGUGAAACACAUUGAUGAAAUACAUCGCCCCAAUUCUGAGAUGCAUGAGCGUGUCAUUGGACUACCAUGACAGAUGAAAGGGUUGCCGUGCACAUCACUGUGCUUGGUUUACCUUGGGCUCAUCAUCAAGGACGAUGGCAGCAGUCGGGCAC